UACGUAGGUGGCGAGCGUUAUCCGGAUUUAUUGGGUUUAAAGGGUGCGUAGGCGGCUUUAUAAGUCUGUGGUUAAAGGUAGCAGCUUAACUGUUUUACAUGCCAUAGAUACUGUAGAGCUUGAGUUAUUUGGAGGCAGCUAGAAUUUCCGGUGUAGCGGUGAAAUGCAUAGAUACCGGAAGGAAUACCGAUUGCGAAGGCAGGUUGCUACAAAUAUACUGACGCUGAUGCACGAAAGCGUGGGGAUCAAACAGG
Molecule: ribosomal RNA, 254 nt
Filed under: uncultured bacterium
Lineage: Bacteria
Also listed under: 1 other name
Description: partial 16S ribosomal RNA
Rfam family: Bacterial small subunit ribosomal RNA
Source: RNAcentral